CCCGCUGAACUUAAGCAUAUCAAAAA
RNAcentral lists this ribosomal RNA (26 nucleotides) under Sporothrix sp. HMY-2013. Its description in RNAcentral is "partial 28S ribosomal RNA". Lineage: Eukaryota; Fungi; Ascomycota; Sordariomycetes; Ophiostomatales; Ophiostomataceae. The record is from RNAcentral.